AACAGCGUAAUAAUUUUUUAGAGUUCUAAUCGAAAAAAUUGAUUGCGACCUCGAUGUUG
This 59-nucleotide transfer RNA is filed under the name Hypocassida meridionalis. RNAcentral's name for it is "tRNA-Ser". The record is from RNAcentral. Lineage: Eukaryota; Metazoa; Arthropoda; Insecta; Coleoptera; Chrysomelidae.